This 203-nucleotide long non-coding RNA is filed under the name Physcomitrium patens. Its description in RNAcentral is "long non-coding RNA (PPAT_LNC012229)". The record is from RNAcentral. Lineage: Eukaryota; Viridiplantae; Streptophyta; Bryopsida; Funariales; Funariaceae.
UUAUUACAUAUUUUUUAAUAUUCUAAAAGAGAAAAUUGUGAAUAAGAUAUUUUUACUUUAUAAUUUUUUUAUGAAUUAAUUGAAUUUUUACAUAAUUUAUUUUAUUGCAAUUCUUAAUCAUUUUUUAAAAUAUUAAAUUUUUAUUUUUUAAUCUUUGAAUAGUAAUAAGAAUUAUUAGAAAAAUAUUUACUAAUAUAAAUUUA